This 3147-nucleotide unclassified non-coding RNA is filed under the name Ooceraea biroi (clonal raider ant). RNAcentral's name for it is "uncharacterized LOC105275549, transcript variant X5". The record is from RNAcentral. Lineage: Eukaryota; Metazoa; Arthropoda; Insecta; Hymenoptera; Formicidae.
CACUCGUUUCACGGUAAGUGGAGAAAGAGUAACUGUGACGAGCAGGCUUGCGAUUGGUCCGUCGUUUCGAUACAUCGAUAAUCGUGUUAACUCGCUUUUCGAUGGAAUUCAACUUGCGGAAUUCGUCAAAACCUAAACGAGAGGCUUCCAUUGGAAUGUCGAACCGUACUUCAAACAGAGGAAUAUCCGGACAAUCCGGACUUUGCGCAGAACCGUUACGGGGGGACUGUUAAACGGUUUUGUCGUCUGCACUUUCCCACGGGUAACGCGCAUCGAGGAGAAGCAUCAUGAGGGAUUUUCCUCGUCGCGGAAGCUAAGCGCGCGGCAAUUCCUCGAGCGAGCUUCUACUCGACAUUUCGCCUCUACUACGAAGGCGACUCGAUCGUGAGAUAUUGCCGUUUAUUGCGCCCCUCGAGGCGAUAUUCGAGGCGAUAGCGAACUUUACGAGAUCGUUACGCGGCGCAGUUGCAGCCUUCUUCUUCUUCUUCUUCUUCUUCUCGUUGCCCCUCGGGCAAGCCGAAGAGCUCGAUGGAAUUUCAAAUGAGGAUGCGGUUGCGCGUACGAAAUCGUCGGGAUGAAUUUUCGUCAAGGCGCGCGUUCGCGUGAUCGCUGCAGGACCGCCGAUGGUUCUGCGUCGCGAGCGCAUUAAAACGCCGCAGAGAAGAGAAGAAAAGGGACAAGCACAAGGAGAAGAUUGGGCGACCGGGGGAGAAAGAGACGCGACGAGAGGACGGCCGCCCCGAAAUAAGAGCAAUCAAAAAAUACGCCGCGCGACCAACCACCGCGGUUGGUUUGCGGUUACCACUGAUGCGCAGCGACAGAGUGGAUCUCCUCCAGCGAGGGGGAAGGAGGAAGAGCGUAGACAGACGGAUUUAUAUUCAAAUGAAUCGCGAGGCCUCGAUUUAUCGACGCCCGAUCAAACUCCGUAGCGCGGGAGCAGGCCGGGAGAGGAUGGAGAGAGGAGGAGGAAAAUCAAGGGGUUAAGUUACGAGAGAGGAAGGAUGCGCCUAAGGAGCGUAGAUCCCUCCCUCGCUCGCUCUACGCUCGCUGUUACCACUCGGGGAGCUAUGAUCUCGUACACAGAGCCGAAGUCGAAGAUUAUAUAACGAACCUCUACCCGGAGAAUUCCGAGGCACAGCCGGUGAACCUUGACCGAGGCCGCGGGUGCGUGACUGCAAGGAUGCGCGCACGCAGGAGACGGUGUGCGAUAUCCCGGUGACGGCGACGACUACGAUCACGACGAGCACGCGAGCACGCGAGCACGCACGCACGGAGAAAUCGCACGUACGCGUACGCGUGAAAGACGAGAGACAGUCGCUGAUGUCGCGAUGAGACUGGGCCCGAUUAUCCUGUCGUGGGCCACAGCCUUGGCCAGCUGGUUGGGCACAUCAAACGGAAGCGUAGCGGCGGCAGCGACGGUGACGGCGCGGGAACCACGUGUUUGGGACUACGAGCUGUCGACGGAGUUCUUCCUGGUACCAUCCGAGAUCGGGCAUGGUCUGGCGAGCGUGGCGAGCGUCAUCAGCGUGCCCGCGCCUAACCGGACCGUCAGCGUGUUCAGGACGGCACCGGGAGUCAGGAAGAGCCAGGAAGCAGAGAUGCGACCAACCCCCAAAUCCUUGCUGAAGCAACGACCCUGGGCGCUGCCGCUCGCCGCGCUCAGCGCCGCGACGAUGCUCCUCAUGGCUGGCUUCGAGGUCUUCGUGCUGCUCAAGGCUAGAGCGACGGCGCCGAAUAGACGACACUUGUUCCUGGGCCAGGCGCUGCUCCUGGGACUCUUUCUCCUGGCUGGUCUCUCGGCCGCAGCUUCCCUCAGCCAAAAUCCGUUAUCCUGUGCGGCCUUUCGAUUGGUGGGUUUGCCCGCCGCCCUCGUGUUCGCUGCCUUGUUAGUCAAAUGCGUUUUCUUGCUGUCGUUGAACAGUGGCGUGUACUUACCGGCGCCUUAUCAGGCUUUUCUUGUCUCGGUUGUGCUGCUGCAGGCGCUGGUGCUGGUGUUCGCGGUAUUGGUGCAGGUGGCCAUUGUCGGGCAAUGGUUUUACGGCGAACCACCUGCGGUGAUCCAGGUGCAGCAGCAACAACAGCAGCAAGCGGGCGCGGCGGUCCUGAGUUCGCCGGCAUCAUCCACCACCUGCAAGACUCCGCUCGGACAGAUAGUGGCUUCCCUCGGGUAUCCCGGAGCGCUGCUGGUGGCGGUGGCUUGUCUAGCGGUCCGGGCACGCGGCAUCCGGGACAAUAAUCGGGAGGCGGCCUUCAUCGGUCUUGCGGUCGGCCUCUCACUGCCGAUUUGGAUCUCCAGCGGGAUCGGAUCGCUUGCGGCCACUAGCGAGAGCGAUCGGGAGGCCUGGCUGGCUUACGGUCUACUGGCCACGUCGCUCUUCGUCUUCCUCACGAUGUUUCUGCCGAAGGGACGCCAGCUGGCUGCCCUGGGUCGCGAAGGGCCCGCGGCUGUCAUUCGCGACCGCGACGACGCCCUCAGCUCCCUCCCCGGCAGCGGAUACUCGCCCUCUUUCUUCCAUUUCAAGCCCACGGAAGCGUCCUUGAAGAGGAAGUUACAUUACCACAGUGCCGAUCGAGUCGCACUGGUCUCGUCCGGGAUACCCGGAUGCAGCGCCUGCAGGCACGGAGGAAGUCCCAUAUACUCGGACGAUGUGCACGGCCCGAUGGAGACGUUCGUUUUGCCGCCCGGUAUGUACUUGAGGCCGGAGGACGCCGGUAAUCUCUACACGACCUUGUCGGCCAACCCCAACGUGUUCUUCCAGAGGGCAGCUCAUCCCGGGAUGAUGUACUGAAGAAGGCGAAUCAUCGCGCGAAUGUUAUCGUCGAUGAUAAUCGAAUUUGUCGCUCUCGCAUGUGUGUGUAUAAUGCGCGCAUCAAGAUCUUGACUCUAGAUUAAAUUACGGACGAGCGCGAUAAACAGUUAUUGUUCUCUCGUCACUGUAAAUAAUCGUCAUUGUCGGGUUUGAUGAGUGGCUUCGUUGGAAUCCCUAUAAACUCUUCUUUGUAACUUGGAUUUUAUUACUGUGAGGAUGCGUCGUACUUCGCAAAAAUGCGUAUGCGAUUUAUUGCGGAAUCACCUGAAUCAACAUUAACCUGAUCCUUCAAAGGAGGUCGAUUCCAUAAUAUCGUGCGCCGUGCGAUCGAUCACAC